GACGAACGCUGGCGGCGUGCUUAACACAUGCAAGUCGAACGGAAAGGCCCUGCUUUUGUGGGGUGCUCGAGUGGCGAACGGGCGAGUAACACGUGAGUAACCUGCCCUUGACUUUGGGAUAACUUCAGGAAACUCGGGCGAAUACCGGAUAGGAGCUCCUGCUGCGUGUGGGGGGUUGGAAAGUUUCGGCGGUUGGGGCGGGACUCCGUGGCUAUCACCUGGUUGGGGGGGUAGUGGUUUACCAAGGCUUUGACGGGUAGCCGCCCUGAGAGGGUGACCGGCGACAGGGCGCCUGAGCGCCGUCACAGACUCCGACGUGCGGCAGAAGUCGCGAGUCUUGCACAACGGGCGCGACGCUGAUCGCGCACGGGGCCGUGCGGGAUGACGGCCUUCGGUGUGUACACCGCUUUCGCCUGUGCCGAAGCGUGCGUGACGGUAAUGGGUAAAGAAGCCCCGGCUAACUACGUG
Molecule: ribosomal RNA, 468 nt
Filed under: uncultured bacterium
Lineage: Bacteria
Description: partial 16S ribosomal RNA
Rfam family: Bacterial small subunit ribosomal RNA
Source: RNAcentral